Long non-coding RNA from Lagopus muta (rock ptarmigan), 2964 nucleotides. RefSeq lists it as uncharacterized. Lineage: Eukaryota; Metazoa; Chordata; Aves; Galliformes; Phasianidae. The record is from RefSeq and is a predicted model, not a curated record. The transcript has 3 exons.
UCUUGUUGGAGAUCCCUGCCUACCUGAGGCCUCUUGGAGCUGACCAAAGAAAUGAAGAGAUUACCUCUGCAGUUACUUCCAGCCAUACUGGGAGACAUUUGGUGGAUCCUAAGAACAAGAAGAGAUGAGGCACCGCAGGAGCUGCUGUUCAGGAGGCCAGUGCUCAAAAACGUCACCAGAGGAGUAAUCCUGGGUCAGCGUUGCCCGCAAUGUCUCAAAUGGCAUUUUGUACGUCUCUGUCCUGGAGCCUGAUGUGUUGUCCUACUUUGCCGAGGCUUUGCAUCUUCCCUGUUUACAUAUAAACUAUGUCUUGAUGAAGAGAUGUAGAAAGUGGCCAGGGUGGAGAAGAGGAAAGAUGAGGAUGCUUACGUGCUUUCUUUUUCUCUCAGAGCAGAGAUGAGCAGGUUAGAGAAGUUUGUAUUAUGUGGCUGUUCCCAGUUUUCUUCAUGCUCUUCAUUACUCAGACUUUUGCAGUGUUUGGGGAUGUCUAAUUAUAUUUACUGCAUGGUCUGAACCUUUGUCUCUAACUCUGGUCAGUGACAGCAGGAGAUCACAGACUGUUGAAAUGUGGUGAUAUGGGGUUUUCAGGUGAGACAACCUGUUCUCAGUGUACAUAAUCCUACUCACUGCAUGCCUACUGCAGCACAUUUACAGAACAGAGUAGUAUGGAGAUGAACUACAUUUGUAUGAUAUAUAUGAGCUAAAUUUGUGGUGGAGUCCUCUGCAUUUGAUCUGUUUUGAUGGGAAACCAACACUGCUCCUCUACAGGGGUGCAGAAAUGCUCAUUUGGAGUCAUUCAGCCUUCGGUGUAGUACCUUAAAACUCCUGGGUAGACCUUACUGAUUUGGACUACUAGUAAGAGGCUAACUUUUGGUGCUGGGUUGGAUAGUUGUUAUAACAAGCAUUAAGUACUUGAAUUCAUUCUCUUCCUCCUCUUUAUUUAAAGCUGUCAAUAUUUUAUUUUUGGAAGGGGCACAAAAGAAGCAAUGGUGAGGGGAAAGAGGAAACCACUCCCAGUGUUAAAUCUUGUUUUGGAUUGUAGAAUAAUGAGAUGUAUUGCCGUUUCUCAUUCUGUAGAUUGAUUGAUUUAUCAAAAAAUGUUAUAUUAUUACAAAUGUGGGACAUAAUUUGGAUCUUAUUUCUUGGGAGUUGCCUGGAUGAGGAAGGAAAGUGGGAUCUAGUUGUGAUUUUUGCUCCUCUUCUGAGUCUUGGGAAUGUGCAUGUUCAAAUAACUUGUCUGAUUCCAUUUGCAUAGCCUGUGAACCACUACCAUUUGCUCAAGUAGACCAAGGAGUGUUAGCACAAGAGAGCCCAGCCUGCACAAUUACUCUGUCUUGUCAGGUAGUAGCUACAUUUUAGAAGGAAACCACAGCACAAAGAAGGAUCUCAGGUUCCCUGCAGUAUAUGCGAAGCAGUUUCAUUUAAAACGUCAGGUUUACCUUGGCAACACCACUCUUCAGUAGGGAUUAGGACUACAAAAACCACUGAAUCAUACUGUGUGUUUCUAUCUGUGUGCCAGGUCGCAAACAUAAAUUGUAAUGUUGGCCCUUAUUUGUCAUCACAUAACACUUUGGCGUACUUUUUCGUUCCCCGAAUGAGUGGAAUGAGAAGGUUACUUGGAAAGUCAUCUGUCUGAGAAACAAUUAGCAGGCAAUCUUGAAUUUCAUCUGUGAAAGAUAAUGGAGUGAGAAAGGAAUGGGAUGUGUAUGGUAGUCAAUCAGACCAAGUUAAGAUGGUCUGACGAUGACCCAAAAGGCUGAAGUAGAAAAAGUUGGGGGAGUCAGACAAUGCUGUUUUUUAAACAAAAAUGUGUAAACAUGACCUCAAACAGACAAAUUUGGAUCUAGAUAUGAGCUCAAAUUUCAAGCAGUUCUAAAAUUUGGAGGGUAUUUAGAGACGUGAUUUUGGUUUGGCUUGUAUCUGGUUUCAAGGAAUUGCUUUUCUUUCUAAAGGCCUCUCAGAUGCUGGAACAAAAGAAAAGACAGUUCUAAAGCUAUCUUACUGCUCUGCACCUCUUCACAACUUAACAAGUCAGGGGCUGUUGUCCUUAGCCUUGCUUCUAUUUCAACAUCUGCAAGCUGCAGACAAUUUGCCAUUGCUGUAUUUUUAAGGUCUUCAACAGCCAAGCUUAGCCACCCUAGUGCUGCAUUAAAGAGGUACCUUUUGCACACUAUUUAUGUUUGUUUCUAAUAUGUUAGGGUCAUUAUCCUUUCAUCAGCUUUCAGAGAAACCUGUGAAGGAAACUUCGUAGUUCAAAUUUAUUUGAUAAAUAUGUUCUUUCAUACUAUUAUUAUUUUUUGGUCAGGAGGUAUGUUACAUUUUUCCACUGGCUGCAGUGUGGGAUAUUAGAUGCUCUGAAAAGAAAAUAAAUGCUAAAAUCUUUCUUCCUCUGACACUUCAUUAAUGCCAAGAGGGAAGCUGAGCAGUGUUGCUUUAAUUAUCAGGUUUUUGUUAAAAUAAAAAAAAAAGUCAUUGGAAAUACCUGAUGCAGUUUUAUCGAACUAAAGAAACACAAAAAUUACAUCCUGGAACAGAACAUUGCCUCUAGCAAGACUAGUGCUUUAAUACAUUUGGCUGUACAUGCCACACUUCACAGUUUUAUUCUUGACUCUUAGUGGGGACUGACUUAGGCCUCAAAAUGUAAGGACUGCAUUCCCUGUAUUAAAUAAUUCAUCUGCUUUGUGCCUUGGCACCACUGUUUUCUCGUCUCCCACUGUAACCCUGUGUGGUGGCUUUCUCUUAGAUUUAUUAGGCAUUUGUUGUUGGACUUCAACGUAAGACAUUUUUUUUGUAACAGGCCUGAUUUUCAUUCAUUGGUUUUAUCUAAAGUGCUUUCUCUUUGCUCUUAUGAAAUAACAAAAAUAAGUGUUUGGGCUCUGACAGGGUAAAGGACAGUGUGAAUUUUGUUUCAUUAUGAGCAUUCUAAAACAGAAUUUCUCAGAUGCACAGUGAUGUACAUCUGAA